This 478-nucleotide ribosomal RNA is filed under the name uncultured bacterium. Its description in RNAcentral is "partial 16S ribosomal RNA". It matches the Rfam family "Bacterial small subunit ribosomal RNA", at positions 28 to 523 of the family's 1533-position model. The record is from RNAcentral.
GACGAACGCUGGCGGCGUGCUUAACACAUGCAAGUCGAACGGUAAGGCCCUUCGGGGUACACGAGUGGCGAACGGGUGAGUAACACGUGGGUGAUCUGCCCUGCACUUCGGGAUAAGCCUGGGAAACUGGGUCUAAUACCGGAUAGGACCACUGCCUGCAUGGGUGGUGGUGGAAAGCUUUUGCGGUGUGGGAUGGGCCCGCGGCCUAUCAGCUUGUUGGUGGGGUGAUGGCCUACCAAGGCGACGACGGGUAGCCGGCCUGAGAGGGUGACCGGACACACUGGGACUGAGAUACGGCCCAGACUCCUACGGGAGGCAGCAGUGGGGGAUAUUGCACAAUGGGCGCAAGCCUGAUGCAGCGACGCCGCGUGAGGGAUGACGGCCUUCGGGUUGUAAACCUCUUUCAGCACCGACGAAGCGCAAGUGACGGUAGGUGCAGAAGAAGGACCGGCCAACUACGUGCCAGCCGCCGCGGUAA